AAAAAAAAAAUGCAAAUCCAAACCUUUGUACACAUGAUCAAUUGUAGCCAAAAUUUUUAUCAACUCGAUCCUCAACCUUUGUUAUUGGUUUUAAUUUUACCAGUCAUUUUCAUAAUUUCUCUUAUAUAUCCAUGAAUAACUUUGUUUUUGUUUUCAAUUUUAAUCAUUUUCAUAACUCUUAUAUAGCCAUGACUUUUUUUGGAUUGUUACAAUAACCUACAUCUAAAAUUAAUAAAAUCUUUAGGCAGUGUAAGUUGAUUAAUUUUCCUUACCAUAUAGAAAUUUUUAGCGUUUAUAUAAUCCUUUAUUAACUUAUUACAAUUACUAUACUAUGAAAUAGUGCACAUUUCCUUAAAAGGUUGGGACUUUGCUCGUUAAUGGUUAUUUUUGCUAACUAUUAGUAGCAUUCUCCUUUUUUAGUUCAUUUUAUUUACUUUUUUUUUUAAGACAAAGAUCUUAUGAUUUUUUUUUUCUAGCUAUGAUGCAUUAAAUUACAAGCAUAAUUUUUUUGUAUUCAAAAUUUUUUUUUCCAAAAUACUCAUUUCUCAAAUCAAUUACCACUAAAAU
Molecule: unclassified non-coding RNA, 567 nt
Filed under: Hevea brasiliensis (rubber tree)
Lineage: Eukaryota; Viridiplantae; Streptophyta; Magnoliopsida; Malpighiales; Euphorbiaceae
Source: RNAcentral